RNAcentral lists this ribosomal RNA (440 nucleotides) under uncultured bacterium. RNAcentral describes it as "partial 16S ribosomal RNA". It matches the Rfam family "Bacterial small subunit ribosomal RNA", at positions 338 to 795 of the family's 1533-position model. The record is from RNAcentral.
CCUACGGGCGGCAGCAGUGGGGGAUCUUGGACAAUGGGGGAAACCCUGAUCCAGCGAUGCCGCGUGAGGGAAGAAGGUUUUCGGAUUGUAAACCCCUGUGGAGGGGGACGAUAAUGACGGUACCCAUUUAGGAAGCCACGUCUAACUACGUGCCAGCAGCCGCGGUAAGACGUAGGUGGCGAGCGUGGUCCGGAGUUACUGGGUGUAAAGGGAGUGUAGGCGGGAAAGCAAGUCAGAAGUGAAAACUAUGGGCUUAACCCAUAGCCUGCUUUUGAAACUGGUUUUCUUGAGUGAAGUAGAGGCAAGCGGAAUUCGUGGUGUAGCGGUGAAAUGCGUAGAUAUUGGGAGGAACACCAGUGGCGAAGGCAGCUUGCUGGGCUUUUACUGACGCUGAGGCUCGAAAGCGUGGGGAGCAAACAGGAUUAGAUACCCUUGUAGUC